UUUGGUGAUACAAGCGAAGUGGUCACACCUGUUCCCAUCUCGAACACAGAAGUUAAGCACUUCAGCGGCGACAAUAUCUAGGACAUCCCUAGUGAAGAUAGCUCAUCGCCAGAU
Molecule: ribosomal RNA, 114 nt
Filed under: Bacteroidales bacterium
Lineage: Bacteria; Pseudomonadati; Bacteroidota; Bacteroidia; Bacteroidales
Source: RNAcentral